Long non-coding RNA from Oncorhynchus keta (chum salmon), 246 nucleotides. RefSeq lists it as uncharacterized. The transcript has 4 exons. NCBI's taxonomy places the organism in Eukaryota, Metazoa, Chordata, Actinopteri, Salmoniformes, Salmonidae. The record is from RefSeq and is a predicted model, not a curated record.
UAGAUGGAUAGAUUGAGGAGGUGGUGGUGUCUAUAGAUGGAUAGAUUGAGGAGGUGGUGGUGUCCAUAGAUGGAUAGAUUGAGGAGGUGGUGGUGUCCAUAGAUGGAUAGAUUGAGGAGGUGGUGGUGUCCAUAGAUGGAUAGAUUGAGGAGGUGGUGGUGUCUGUAGAUGGAUAGAUUGAGGAGGUGGUGGUGUCUGUAGAUGGAUAGAUUGAGGAGGUGGUGGUGUCUAUAGAUGGAUAGAUUG